This 253-nucleotide ribosomal RNA is filed under the name uncultured bacterium. RNAcentral describes it as "partial 16S ribosomal RNA". It matches the Rfam family "Bacterial small subunit ribosomal RNA", at positions 524 to 776 of the family's 1533-position model. The record is from RNAcentral.
GACAGAGGGUGCAAACGUUGUUCGGAAUUACUGGGCGUAAAGCGUGUGUAGGCGGCCAGGCAAGUCGGGUGUGAAAGCCCCGGGCUCAACCCGGGAAGUGCACCCGAAACUGCUUGGCUAGAGUACUGGAGAGGUUGGUGGAAUUCUCGGUGUAGAGGUGAAAUUCGUAGAUAUCGAGAGGAACACCGGUGGCGAAGGCGGCCAACUGGACAGAUACUGACGCUGAGACACGAAAGCGUGGGGAGCAAACAGG